GCCGCGCCCUCUGGCGGCUGCGCCCGGAGCAGCGCAAACUCCGCGCAGCGCAAACCCCGCGCACCGCUCCCUCCGCGCUUCCGCGGCGGGACUCGAGGAACUUCAGGCGGUGGCUAAGAAAUGUGCAGAGCACAGGUAAGUCAGGCAAUAAGCAAAGCAAGCCCUCCAGCAGAACGAGUACUCUCCCACUGCCUCCACCCUGAAGAGCCCGUCCCAGCAGCAGGAUCUUCCCCGAUGCCCCCACUGAGAGAUGCAGAGGAGAAGCACCACCUCCAGCGUUUCAAGGCCUGGUGCCCAACUGCGACUGCCACUGCGUGGGAGAGUGGAAGACCCAGGCAGCAAGGUAUGGCAUGAGAUUAAUUAUCACAAUCGGCACAAACUUCCUUACAUUUCUUUUGUAUUUCUCAGCUCUACUGAUACUGAUAAAUUACCGCAAUAACUACGGAGUGAGAUAAUAGUGAUAGCAAUUUGCAGUCUAUCAGGAAUUAAUUCUCUCUUAAUCAGGAACUGCUUUAACAGCAUGGUGGGUGUUAAGAGUACAGCACUUCGUAAUAUUAAAUAUUUGUGUAUCUGAAGUAGUCUUAAAAAAAUCUGACUAGACAAAUCCCACAAUCAGAAAACAAGAAAGAAAUACAAAAUUUGAAAUGCAGUUACUAUAAAAUAUUUGAAAAUGUAACUUAAGGACAAUUUCAUUAGCACCAGGAACCUACCAAAUUAACUUCAUGUACUAUUCAUGCUAAGGUUGGUUUACAAUUCUCUGUAUGAAAGUAAUUCUGUUUAUUAGGCAGUGAACUACAGGUUACAUGUUAAACAAUAUUAACUUAAAUACACACUUAAUACCUGUACAAAAGUACUUAAAAUGCAAUCUAAGGUUAACUCCAUCACUAACAGGUUUUAUGUAAAUGUUCAGCACAAGAAAAUACAAGAUAAAAUAUUCUUUUCACAGCAACUAAGUAGUGUACAUUUAAACUGAUCUUAAUGAAAGCGGCUGAUGAAGGAGUUAGUAAGCAAGGCAAUAGCAUUAAUUUCUUAGCAAUUCUAGCACAGAAUUACAGAAUUCUUUGAAGGCAUCUUUACAGUGCUCUGAACAUGGAAAAACCUAACAUACGAAGGUCUUCCGUACUUCAGAGGGUUAUGACACAUCACUGUGAAAUCUUUUUGCAUAAACGAACCGUUAAGUCUUUUCUGAACCUAAAACUUUCUCCAUGCACCAUUCAGAUCUCACAAACUAGAUCUAUUAGAGAUAUUUAAAGUAUUUUGGGACCUUUUUUUUUUUGCUUUUUCCAAGAAAGUUUGGACCAGAGGUUCCUUGACAUCCCUUCCAACCUGGUAUUCUAUGAUUUAAAGAUUUAUGAUUUGAUUUACUGUUAUACAUCCAGAAUAUGAGGCAAUCAACUGAGGGAACAUUUUUUAGUGAGCGUACGGGUCACUGUAAAAAGCUCUUACCUUCACACUGUUGUUUACCAAAUGUAAUUAAGAACUUCUUGCUAUUUGUUCUUUCUUUAGACCAUAUAUGUUCAGUCUACUCAUAUUUGUGGAUAAAAUGAAAAGAGCAGCUGUGACAGGAAAACUAAAGAUGCGGGCAAGGCUUCAUUGGGAAGACUGUACAGUCUCAUCAGUCAUGGUCAGGCAAAAGGCUGCCAAGACAGCAAAGAAGAUGAAGAACCUCCAAUACGUUCUUGAAAUCAAGUUCUGGAUUUGUCAGUUCAGCAAAGGGAAGCCAGAAGGGAGGUAUGAUGGCUCUUGGCAAAUACCUGAGAAGAAACAACACUGGGAUAAGCAAAUAAGUAGUUGUACUACAGGAUGCUAGCACUAGUACUACCUUGAAAAAAACCCAGCAACCUAAUCUAAGCAUAAAGGGAGGUAAAUACAUAAACAGCCUUCUUGUAAGACUGGUGGAGGAGGGGGGAAACUACUUUUAAGAGUGAGUAACUGAAUUCAUUUACUAGGAAGAUUAUUCUGAUCCCUUUUUUCUAACAUGUUGGAAUCUUAAAAAAAAAUUGAAUAAAAUACAGAAAAUAUUUCAGCCUGGAUCAAGCAAAAUAUUGCACAUAUAUUUAUGAGCUCUAACUCUAUGUCAAUUCUAAAUUAAAAGGUUAUUUUGAAAGAAGGAAUGAGAGAAAGAGAAAGAAAAAGAAAGAGAGGAAGAGUCAGGGAGAUAAAAAAGGGAGAACCAAAAGGAAACAGGGAACGAGAAAUAUUUUCAAAUAAAAUAAAAGGUUCACAACAAGGUGUUUUAAUGCAUUCAUUCAAGGUAUUUUUGAGAUGGGUAAUUAUCAAAAUGUACUGUUUCACUGUUUGGUUUCAAGGAAUCAGCAUUUUUUUUCUUUAAAAAAUUAUUAAAAAUCCUAAAGUCUCUGAUGUACAAAAACCACUGUUCUUUUUUGAAGUGCUCAUAUAACUUUCAUAAUAAGAUAGACUUCAAUAUGUGGAUAAUAUUGUAAGCCUACAGGAAUAGAAAAUCAGGGUAUGUUAUGGCUUUGUUAAUAUUGCUGGAAUAAGUUCUUUCUUAAUAUUCUCUAAAUCAAGGGAUUAAAAAGAUUUUUUUUCUUUAUUAAUUUUUCUGAUUUUAAGCAAAGAAAAAAGAAAAAUGCAAAGAUAAUUUGUAGAUUUUGUGGACUGACAGAAGAACAUUUAGUAAGGUUUAUGUGAUACUAACUGCAGGCAAUCAAAGAACCGCAGUUUCUGGAUUUUUAUGAUUAAGCGCACGUCCGAGCUCAGAUAUAUUGUUUUUGUCUGCAUGGUGGUUCACACGCAAGCGUAUAUAGAUUCAAAAAUAUGAAUAAAUAAAUACACCCAGGUAUCAACAAUAGUAAUAUUAACCCAUUUUCAAACAAUUAGCAGUUCAUACAGGCAUGUUAUAUGAUAAUCAAGCUUCAACAAUACAUAACCUUCAUAUAAUAUAAAUGUUUUUAUUUUCCCUGAAUUUUGGAGACAAAGCAAGCACUGGAAAAAAAAGUCACCUAAGGAUGCAAAAGUUUGAGGAAACCCAAAUAUGAGAAAACAAGAGGUUAGAACUGAAAACGACUGUUUUUACCAUCUUAAACUACAAACAGUGAUGCCUUUCCAGAUAUAACACAUGAGCCUGCAAAAUGAAGGGUCUUCUAUGGCUGAUGUGUGGAUGUGAAGGACGAAAGAUGAAAGACCACCCAAGUUAAUCUUCAUGGAAACUGCAAAAGUGCGUGGAAUAUUAGGCAAACACAGAAGCUGAGUAUUUAUUAGGAAGAUCGCAACUGGUCCUGAGUAAAAACGAGGAUUGAGAUUCAAUACAAAGUUAAACGAAGAUAAAUAAUCCUGCAACUUGAGAAGUUUGCACUGCAAUACGGAGAACCACAGAAAGGAGACUAAUAGUUCAAAGAUCAAGAGAACUGUGAAAAUUACAUACAAAUUAUUUUUAAAUUUGUAAUGCAUUUUCUCCAGCUGCCUACACUCAUACUUUUACAUUCAAGUUUUGUGCAAGCAACUUUAUUUCCAUCAAACGUUAACAUUUUGUGGGCAAACACAAAAAUCACUAUUUAUGUCUCCACACACGACAUGGGGUUUUUUUUCAAUUUAUUCAAACACUCAUCCUCUCAGAAAGUAAAAACAAUUUUGUCCAGCAAGCAAGAACCACAGACAGGUCUCAAGUGAAUAGGAAUGCCUUUAAAGAGCCCUUUUCUGAUGAAAACUGAAACAUCUGCUGAGCAUGUUGGAGGGAGUUGUAUUUGUUGGAUUCCUGACCACAGCAUAUUUCUUCCUUGAGCCACAUGAAGUAGGAUGAAGGGCAGAGGAGAUGGCAAGCAGGGAUAAACCUUGAGCACUGAGACUGUAAUUUCAGCCCAAAGCCUGUUCUGAAGGAGGGGAUACAAGAGUCUGCUAAGGAAUAGGAAGACAAAUCCUUCCUUCUGCUUAUGAACAUCUAGACCUGGAAUUUAGAAACACCAAAAAAGAAGGAGAGCUGUAGAUGAAUCCAGGCAGGAAAAGGGAAUAACAACUCUUAUCAAGCAAUUACAAUUGUCAGAGAUAAAUCAGAACAGCUUUUUCAGCUAAAGAGAAAGAUGGCUGAUCUCUUGAAAUUCUUCUAAAACAUUCCUACAGAAUGAGCAGUAGAAAAUUGUCUUUGAAUCUGCUAGAAUUACAAGAAAAAUUAUUGUUACUUAUACAGACAUUAAUGAAUGGAACACAAAUCAAUAUAACUCACAACAGUAUUUCAUGUAUUCCCCAUCCAAAAUUCUGUGUUUCCCUGUUGUGUUUCAGUGUUUGCAUCCUAUAGCACGAUUCCUAUAUCUUCCUUAGUUCUGGAAACUGUCCUAUUAGAAACUACUGUUCUUCUGCUUGAGAAUGACAAGGUAGGGUUUUAACCAUCAACACUGCUCAGUGUCAUGAGUAAAGUUGGGUGAAAUUAACCGCUCAGUGUCAUGAGUAAAGUUGGGUGAGAUGGAUUGGUGCUGAAAUGCUUGAGUUGCACCCAGAGUUGUCAUGUCCUCCUAUCCCUACUGAGGGCCAACACAUUUAGAAAGUGAUUGCAAUGGGAGGGAGGGAUUAGCAGACAUCACACUAACAGAUUAUGUUUUCUGAAGGUUCUAGAGAAAAAAAAAAUAUGGUGAGCUGGAGAGGUGCUGGAGAGCAGAUUUAUCAGAACUGAAUUUCCUACUUUUUCAGUUUGCCUAACAGUGAGAGAAAAUCUAACAGGUAUUCUAAUAGGUAUUCUUAACAGGGCCAAAAAUUGUCUGAGCUCUCCCAACCAACCAGCUUCAGAAAAAUAAACCCCUGAAAAAUACAAAGCAAGAACUUAAGAAUAUGACUAAGAUGAAUAAGAAGUGACUUGACACUUUACUUAAAAGUCUUCUACAUUCUAGCUUCUGACUAUGAAUUAUUUAAAAGAUGUUUGGAAAACAUCAUCACUUAUGGAAAAAAUCUGCAUCUCUGAAGAGAUCACAGCUUUGUGGACAGGAUUCUAAUUCAUAAUUUCAAUAUACCAUCUCAGGGGUGCCCAACUAUUGAAACAAGAAAAAGCAAUUAUAAGAAGCUUAUUUACCCAGUUUUCUGUUUUUUCCUCCAAAUACAAUGUAACAGGCUCGACUACCCUUCCUCCAGACAGCUCCUGGGAAGGCUUAUGAAGACAGCACAGCACGGGGGGCCUGCAGAACCACGCCAACAGCCUCAGACACAGCAAUUGCCAGACAACUGGCGUCUAAAUUCAACAAUAUUUAUAAUCUUCCAUCUAAUGGCUGGUUCUCACCAUGGAGAACCCCAGGGAUAGUAACCUGCUGGUAAGCCCACACUUCAGUGCUGGUAUUCAGUCUAGGCUUCAGUGACUAUCUAUCUAAAUCUCUGGAGAUGUGCCUACCCUGGCAGGAGUGGAUAAGCAUAUGUAUGCAUAUAUCGCACAGCCCUUCAGCUUCAGGGAAACUAUUAGUACAGCUUAUUCAAGUUCCAGCUAAAGUUUCUCAGUUCCUGGUGUAAGAAAGCUGUGACCACCACAGUACUAGUUAUUACAGAAGCUCUCUCACUGGAAGUUAUUAAGAGGAAACAGGACCAAGUAUUUCUGCAAUUCAAGCACUGACAGGGCAGAGAGGCAACAUUACAAACAUUGUAUUUUAAGGAUAUAAUAUGUGGAAUUCUCUCCGCUGCUCUCUACCACUUUUAUGAUGCAACUGUUUAUAGCAAAGUAGGGACAGUAGGGACUGCUUAAUCAGGACAGUCUAAUGUAUGGGCAAUUAUCCAAGGCCACGUAUUUUCUAAAUUCUGUAUGGGCAGAGAUGGAGCUUAAGAGCUCUGUAGGGAUCAGAGCUGCUAACGAACUUCUAAGGAGGGCUCUGGAGACUGGGUUGUGCAUAAUGAGAAAAUCUGGAUAUUCAGUGCGAAGAACUCUCCCAAUUUAGCUGCAGUCUAUGUAAAUUAAAUUUGUAUUUAAUGCUUAUCACUACACAGUCCACUUUAGCACUGGGAUAAACUGGGUAGCCUGUGACUUUUCUCUUUUUUGUUACGAAUGUGGCUGAAAGUGGUUCAGAAAGGGGAGACCUGGAAACCUUGGCCAAGCACAUUGUUGGGAAGGACUAUUAUGUAGACAAAUUUUCCUAUCAACUCCCACCUCUUCAGACUACAGCAUCAUGCUUGCAGGCUACGUGCUUAUUUAUUCCCAUGUGUUACAUUUGGACAUCAUAGGCAUAUAGUGUGCAUAUAUAUACACAUGUAAGUUUGUGUGUGUAUAUAUACACACACACACACAUUUAUAAUGCAUCUGCUAAAACAAAGGGAUGUCAAGAACCUUUAAAAUACUGGAUUUACAAAAGAAGAAAAAAAUAAUCUUCAAAAAAACUUUAUUGUAUAUUUUCUUCUAUUGUUCCUUCCACCUAACCAAAAGUGUUUCCACUAUGUCUAACUUACUAAAGACAUCUUUGAUGUUUACCUUUAGUUCUAAUCCAGUUCCUUUGUUACUGAAUCAGUUCAGAAAAAAAUCUCUGUUCAGGAAAGCACUUAAACAAACACUUAAAUACAUUCUUAAAUGUGACUUCUUGAAUUAGCCUAAUAAUUUAAAGUAGUAUUAAUAAACACUCCUAAAUAAACAAUUCCAUUUGACAUGUCUUCACAAUGUAGUGCUGCUCUCAUAUUCUUUCAUCUUUCUUCAUUUUUACCACUAAGACAACAAAUAGUAGGAUAUGAGAAGAUGGUUCCACGUUUUCAAUAGUCAAGGCUUAAGAUGGCUUUGAAGAGCCUCAUUUUCAGAAGCAUACCACUUCAGAAAAUCAGGUUCACAAUGAAAGAGUCAUCCUCUGAGCACCCUAUAUCAAUAAUUAUUUUGGAAAACUUGACCUACUCUUCUAGGCAAACUAUUAUAUCCAUAGCAACAUACAACCUGGCUUCCAGUUUGCCACUGCAGCUUUGUAACCAUUGAUUGUAUUAUGAAAUAGUUGCUGGAACUGAUCACAACUGGUAUGUGCGUAUGAGCAUGCACAUGUCUCUGUGUGUGUAUGUGUGUGCGGUACAAAUUGGGGUUUGACCAUGCCAAGUGUCCUCCCUUCCCUCAAGGCUCAGACAGACAAGUCUCCCUGAGUGUAACAGAGAUGUUCCCAGAACUCUCCACUUUACCCUUCUUUUCUGCAAAAAGCAUAUGUGUCAAAUUCAAGAGGGGGAUAAAUUCUGUGACUGAGCGCUUCAGCAGUGGUGCAGUGGAAGGUCUGUGGAAAAGGUCUGGUCUGUGGCCAGUGCAGCAUGGGAGGAGGACCAUCACCAGCAGACUCACAGCCUGAUCCCACCCCAACAAUCCCAGGUGUGCUUCAGCACAGUGCUAGAUACUAUUUUCUUCCUGACAGCGGCAGGGUGAGGGCAUUUUCACUUUCACUAUCAAUGCUCCCAGCCAUGCGCUCCCUCUCUCCCACUCUCAGCUCUGGAGCUGCAAUGGGAAUCUCCUGUUUGAGGACCCACUCAUAACUUGCAGGGCUCUUGUGAAACCCAGGCAUUUUCCUCCUACAGUUCAGGAAAUAGUACCACAAGUUGAACUUGCAUAAGGAUAAGGACAAAAGCACAAGGAUGGAAUAAGCAACAGGGAACAGUGAUAGGGGAUGUGGAGAAAGCCAAUACUGUCAAUGAGAAAAGGCACACAGGACUUAUCUAAAGCCUGAUAACCAGUUACACUUUACAAUGGCUCAGGAACCAUCUAUAAACUCCUAACUGGCAUAAUUUAACAAAUGCCCUGAAGAACAGGCUUGGUUCAGAAGUACUCAGACGAAAAAAGAUCUAAAUGCAUUUGAUAUGUAAAUCUAACCAGCUCUACUUGCUACACAAAAGGGCUUUAUCCUCUUUUCAGAUUUUCAGCUUUAUAAUGACAGUGGUGAUCUUAGGGAUAUCUCUAGUCAACUUCAGAA
Molecule: long non-coding RNA, 7847 nt
Organism: Athene cunicularia (burrowing owl)
Lineage: Eukaryota; Metazoa; Chordata; Aves; Strigiformes; Strigidae
Exons: 3
Source: RefSeq, a predicted model, not a curated record